GACGCGGUGGCAGAGCGGCCAUGCACGGGGCCUAGCAAUCCUCGCACGCCGGUUCGAAUCCGGUCCGCGUCUCCA
RNAcentral lists this transfer RNA (75 nucleotides) under Alphaproteobacteria bacterium. Its description in RNAcentral is "tRNA-Ala". It matches the Rfam family "tRNA". Rfam says of the family: Transfer RNA (tRNA) molecules are approximately 80 nucleotides in length. Lineage: Bacteria; Pseudomonadati; Pseudomonadota; Alphaproteobacteria. The record is from RNAcentral.